GACGAACGCUGGCGGCAUGCCUAAUACAUGCAAGUCGAGCGAACAGAUGAAGUGCUUGCACUUCUGACGUUAGCGGCGAACGGGUGAGUAACACGUAGGGAAUCUACCUAUAAGCGGGGGAUAACAUUCGGAAACGGGUGCUAAUACCGCAUAAUAUCUUCUUCCGCAUGGAAGAAGAUUGAAAGACGGCUCUGCUGUCACUUAUAGAUGACCUUGCGGUGCAUUAGUUAGUUGGUGGGGUAAUGGCCUACCAAGACGAUGAUGCAUAGCCGACCGUGCAGGGUGAUCGGCCACAUUGGGACUGAGACACGGCCCAAACUCCUACGGGAGGCAGCAGUAGGGAAUCUGCCGCAAUGGGCGAAAGCCUGACGGAGCAAUGCCGCGUGAGUGAAGAAGGCCUUCGGGUCGUAAAACUCUGUUAUAAGAGAAGAACAAAUUGUAGAGUAACUGCUACAGUCUUGACGGUAUCUUAUCAGAAAGCCACGGCUAACUACGUGCCAGCAGCCGCCGUAA
RNAcentral lists this ribosomal RNA (513 nucleotides) under uncultured bacterium. RNAcentral's name for it is "partial 16S ribosomal RNA". It matches the Rfam family "Bacterial small subunit ribosomal RNA", at positions 28 to 523 of the family's 1533-position model. The record is from RNAcentral.